RNAcentral lists this long non-coding RNA (201 nucleotides) under Elaeis guineensis (African oil palm). Its description in RNAcentral is "long non-coding RNA (EGUI_LNC026476)". Lineage: Eukaryota; Viridiplantae; Streptophyta; Magnoliopsida; Arecales; Arecaceae. The record is from RNAcentral.
CACUAGAUGAAUCUUGCCCCUCGCUCUGCUCCAACCCCACCACCAGUGUCUCUGCCUGCAGUGGCACCGGGACCUGCUAGUUCCUCAAGCACACCAGCACCAUCAAAUCAUUUGGGCACCCAUCCAGCCAUUGGAUGGAUGGCAGUGGAGGGUGGGGAGUGGAUUGUGCCCAGUGGAAGAGGGGGUCAUGGAGGCCGACGA